UCUCAUCCAUUGUCUUGUCAACAUCAUCAAUGUUCCUAUAUGUAAGCCUUGUCAAAGUUGAGUUGCUAAAGAAUAUACGUAUUGUGAAGAAUACUAAGAUAUCAAUAGUACGCAAUUUAUCUAUACCGGAUUGUUGAAGAGCAAAAUGAUGCCACCCUAGCUGGAUUUUUGGAACCCCCGAAAUAGAGGAGCAGAGAAAUAUUGCAGAGACAACAGAUGCAGUCGCCGGCCAAGAGGGAAGAAAGAAGAAGAUAUGAUUUGAGCAGCUUGUGUGAAUUGUGAUGACUUGGGCUAUUGGGCCUUUUUUUUUUAAAAAAACAAAUAGAGUGGCCCAAAUCAAUGAAAUCGUCCAUUAAUGAUUAGGGAAAAUUAGGUGUAGUACCCUAAAAAAUUUAAAUAUUUGAUUAAUACCUUAAAACUAAUUUAAAACUAUUAUUACCGUAUUAAUUACGUUCAAGACUCACGAAAAAAACACCCAAAUCUGAAACCCCUGCAAUAAAAAAAAAC
Molecule: long non-coding RNA, 507 nt
Filed under: Olea europaea (common olive)
Lineage: Eukaryota; Viridiplantae; Streptophyta; Magnoliopsida; Lamiales; Oleaceae
Description: long non-coding RNA (OEUR_LNC005339)
Source: RNAcentral